CAACCGUCAAGCCGUCGCUCUCGACGGGCCUGGUCUUGGGGCUCCGUGCGCGCCGAUCGGCGCGAGACGGCCCUGCAAUGCGUUGGUGGCCGGUUCUCGACGGUGCCGUCGAGAGUAAACCCCGCCCUUGGCCGUUGGAUCGCAAAACGGCCGGGGCGGCUCCGGCCGGCCGGUGUCUCACCUUGAAUCAGU
RNAcentral lists this unclassified non-coding RNA (192 nucleotides) under uncultured Ascomycota. RNAcentral describes it as "sequence contains ITS2". Lineage: Eukaryota; Fungi; Ascomycota. The record is from RNAcentral.